Molecule: ribosomal RNA, 1019 nt
Filed under: Klebsiella variicola
Lineage: Bacteria; Pseudomonadati; Pseudomonadota; Gammaproteobacteria; Enterobacterales; Enterobacteriaceae
Description: bacterial SSU rRNA
Rfam family: Bacterial small subunit ribosomal RNA
Source: RNAcentral
UGCAGUCGAGCGGUAGCACAGAGAGCUUGCUCUCGGGUGACGAGCGGCGGACGGGUGAGUAAUGUCUGGGAAACUGCCUGAUGGAGGGGGAUAACUACUGGAAACGGUAGCUAAUACCGCAUAAUGUCGCAAGACCAAAGUGGGGGACCUUCGGGCCUCAUGCCAUCAGAUGUGCCCAGAUGGGAUUAGCUGGUAGGUGGGGUAACGGCUCACCUAGGCGACGAUCCCUAGCUGGUCUGAGAGGAUGACCAGCCACACUGGAACUGAGACACGGUCCAGACUCCUACGGGAGGCAGCAGUGGGGAAUAUUGCACAAUGGGCGCAAGCCUGAUGCAGCCAUGCCGCGUGUGUGAAGAAGGCCUUCGGGUUGUAAAGCACUUUCAGCGGGGAGGAAGGCGGUGAGGUUAAUAACCUCAUCGAUUGACGUUACCCGCAGAAGAAGCACCGGCUAACUCCGUGCCAGCAGCCGCGGUAAUACGGAGGGUGCAAGCGUUAAUCGGAAUUACUGGGCGUAAAGCGCACGCAGGCGGUCUGUCAAGUCGGAUGUGAAAUCCCCGGGCUCAACCUGGGAACUGCAUUCGAAACUGGCAGGCUAGAGUCUUGUAGAGGGGGGUAGAAUUCCAGGUGUAGCGGUGAAAUGCGUAGAGAUCUGGAGGAAUACCGGUGGCGAAGGCGGCCCCCUGGACAAAGACUGACGCUCAGGUGCGAAAGCGUGGGGAGCAAACAGGAUUAGAUACCCUGGUAGUCCACGCUGUAAACGAUGUCGAUUUGGAGGUUGUGCCCUUGAGGCGUGGCUUCCGGAGCUAACGCGUUAAAUCGACCGCCUGGGGAGUACGGCCGCAAGGUUAAAACUCAAAUGAAUUGACGGGGGCCCGCACAAGCGGUGGAGCAUGUGGUUUAAUUCGAUGCAACGCGAAGAACCUUACCUGGUCUUGACAUCCACAGAACUUUCCAGAGAUGGAUUGGUGCCUUCGGGAACUGUGAGACAGGUGCUGCAUGGCUGUCGUCAGCUCGUGUUG